GAUGAACGCUAGCUACAGGCUUAACACAUGCAAGUCGAGGGGCAGCACAGUGUAGCAAUACAUGGGUGGCGACCGGCGCACGGGUGCGUAACGCGUAUGUAACCUACCUCAAACAGGGGCAUAACACUGAGAAAUUGGUACUAAUACCCCAUAACACUUGAUAGGGCAUCCUAUUGAGUUGAAAGUUCCGGCGGUUAGAGAUGGACAUGCGUUGUAUUAGCUAGAUGGUGAGGUAACGGCUCACCAUGGCGACGAUACAUAGGGGGACUGAGAGGUUAACCCCCCACACUGGUACUGAGACACGGACCAGACUCCUACGGGAGGCAGCAGUGAGGAAUAUUGGUCAAUGGACGCAAGUCUGAACCAGCCAUGCCGCGUGCAGGAUGACGGCUCUAUGAGUUGUAAACCGCUUUUGUACAAGGGUAAACCCCGAUACGUGUAUCGGGCUGAAAGUACUGUACGAAUAAGGAUCGGCUAACUCCGUGCCAGC
This 490-nucleotide ribosomal RNA is filed under the name uncultured bacterium. RNAcentral describes it as "bacterial SSU rRNA". It matches the Rfam family "Bacterial small subunit ribosomal RNA", at positions 28 to 512 of the family's 1533-position model. The record is from RNAcentral.